Oryza sativa Japonica Group (Japanese rice) is the source of this 226-nucleotide microRNA precursor. It matches the Rfam family "MIR812 microRNA precursor family". NCBI's taxonomy places the organism in Eukaryota, Viridiplantae, Streptophyta, Magnoliopsida, Poales, Poaceae. The record is from Rfam.
UUUAAACGCAACCAUAAGUUUUUAUAUCUAAUUUUAAUCAUUCGUCUUAUUUAUUUUUUUUAUGAUUAGUACUUUUAUUGUUAUUAGAUGAUAAAAUAUGAAUAAUACUUUAUGAUAAAAUAUGAAUAAUACUUUAUGCGUGACUUAUGUUUUUUAUUUUUUUUAAAAAAAAAUAAAUAAGACGGACGAUAAAAGUUGGAUACGGAAACUCACGACUGCACUUAAA